CGGGACGGGUGAGUAAUGUCUGGGAAACUGCCUGAUGGAGGGGGAUAACUACUGGAAACGGUAGCUAAUACCGCAUAACGUCGCAAGACCAAAGAGGGGGACCUUCGGGCCUCUUGCCAUCGGAUGUGCCCAGAUGGGAUUAGCUAGUGGGUGGGGUAACGGCUCACCUAGGCGACGAUCCCUAGCUGGUCUGAGAGGAUGACCAGCCACACUGGAACUGAGACACGGUCCAG
This 233-nucleotide ribosomal RNA is filed under the name uncultured bacterium. Its description in RNAcentral is "partial 16S ribosomal RNA". It matches the Rfam family "Bacterial small subunit ribosomal RNA", at positions 100 to 334 of the family's 1533-position model. The record is from RNAcentral.